This 750-nucleotide ribosomal RNA is filed under the name Gammarus cf. lacustris TCB3. RNAcentral's name for it is "eukaryotic LSU rRNA". It matches the Rfam family "Eukaryotic large subunit ribosomal RNA", at positions 337 to 747 of the family's 3401-position model. The record is from RNAcentral. Lineage: Eukaryota; Metazoa; Arthropoda; Malacostraca; Amphipoda; Gammaridae.
AUAGCGAACAAGUACCGUGAGGGAAAGUUGAAAAGCACUCUGGAGAGAGAGUCAAAAGACCGUGAAACCGUUCAGAGUAUAAGCCCAUGGCAGCUUGGAAGGCAUAUCGCGAGCGGGGCAUCGGUCUUCCUUCGCGGGGAGCCGGUGUUACCUUGCUUCUGUUGUGGCUCGUCAUGGUAGGGGGGUCAGGUCCACAUCCCGCCGUCGUGUGGGAAGUUCUCGGGCGUGUCGUUGCUUUGCGGUUGACUUCGGUUGGCCGCGGGGCUCUUCGCGCUUGGUUCUUCUUUAGACACGGACGUUCAGACUCAGAGGCAAGAGGCGAUAACCAGCCCACCACGGCACGUUGUGAGGUCACCCUCAGGCUCAGCUUUCGAUUGUGGGCCUUGACGCCGAGCAAGCACAAUGCGUGUCGCAGAUGUUCCUAACCUGGCAACUGGGCCGGACAGUGGGACGACACGCGCUCAACAGUCAGGUCCGGGCGAUGAAAGAGUUCUGGUACGAUCCUCUUGCGACGAGCCGGCUUCUGGCCGACUUCCGAUGCUCAGGUCUCCCGCAUGUGCCGCGGGAGAUCGCCUUGACGGUCUGGACCUUCACAAGUCCUCCUAGUCGGGCAACGGAAAGAGUGGUGUAAAGUCCAAGCCCAUCGGUCACGUCUCGAAACACGGGCCAAGGAGUAUAGCAUGUGUGCAAGUCUAAGGGUCUCACAAAACCCGGAGGCGAAGUGAAAGCAAGUUUGCGGCGGGUGAUCUA